GUAGCGGCGGACGGGUGAGUAACGCGUGGGUAACCUGCCUCAUACAGGGGGAUAACAGUUAGAAAUGACUGCUAAUACCGCAUAAGACCACAGCACCGCAUGGUGCGGGGGUAAAAACUCCGGUGGUAUGAGACGGACCCGCGUCUGAUUAGCUAGUUGGUAAGGUAACGGCUUACCAAGGCGACGAUCAGUAGCCGACCUGAGAGGGUGACCGGCCACAUUGGGACUGAGACACGGCCCAAACUCCUACGGGAGGCAGCAGUGGGGAAUAUUGCACAAUGGGGGAAACCCUGAUGCAGCGACGCCGCGUGAGCGAAGAAGUAUUUCGGUAUGUAAAGCUCUAUCAGCAGGGAAGAAAAUGA
Molecule: ribosomal RNA, 362 nt
Filed under: uncultured bacterium
Lineage: Bacteria
Description: bacterial SSU rRNA
Rfam family: Bacterial small subunit ribosomal RNA
Source: RNAcentral